Molecule: ribosomal RNA, 407 nt
Filed under: uncultured bacterium
Lineage: Bacteria
Description: partial 16S ribosomal RNA
Rfam family: Bacterial small subunit ribosomal RNA
Source: RNAcentral
AUCGAACGCUGGCGGCAGGCCUAACACAUGCAAGUCGAGCGCCGCGGGGGACGGGUGAGUACUGCCUAGGAAUCUGCCCGGUAGUGGGCGAUCACGACCGGGAACGGGCGCUUUUAACGCAUACUAGAAGAUGAGUCUAGGUCGGAUGAGCUAGUUGGUGGGGUAAAGGCCUACCAAGGCGACGAUCCGUCACUGGUCUGAGAGGAUGAUCAGUCACACUGGAACUGAGACACGGUCCAGACUCCUACGGUAGGCAGCAGUGGGGAAUAUUGGACAAUGGGCGAAAGCCUGAUCGAGCCAUGCCGCGUGUGUGAAGAAGGUCUUCGGAUUGUAAAGCACUGUAAGUUGGGAGGCGUUACCAACAGAAUAAGCACCGGCUAACUUCGUGCCAGCAGCCGCGGUAAUAC